RNAcentral lists this ribosomal RNA (286 nucleotides) under uncultured bacterium. RNAcentral's name for it is "partial 16S ribosomal RNA". It matches the Rfam family "Bacterial small subunit ribosomal RNA", at positions 333 to 615 of the family's 1533-position model. The record is from RNAcentral.
ACCAUCCUACGGGGGGCAGCAGUGAGGAAUAUUGGUCAAUGGGCGCAAGCCUGAACCAGCCACGUCGCGUGAGGGAAGACGGCCCUACGGGUUGUAAACCUCUUUUGCCGGGGAGCAAGCCUGAGCACGUGUGCCCAGGCGGAGAGUACCCGGAGAAAAAGCAUCGGCUAACUCCGUGCCAGCAGCCGCGGUAAUACGGAGGAUGCAAGCGUUAUCCGGAUUUAUUGGGUUUAAAGGGUGCGCAGGCGGGCUGUUAAGCCGGCGGUAAAAAUUCAGGGCCCCACCC